This 211-nucleotide long non-coding RNA is filed under the name Mytilus galloprovincialis (Mediterranean mussel). Lineage: Eukaryota; Metazoa; Mollusca; Bivalvia; Mytilida; Mytilidae. The record is from RNAcentral.
GGUAAAUUAUCACGUUGUGAUUGGUUUAAAGCCGUCAUGUGGUGACCCCCUAUGAGACCGUAGGGGGUUUGUAAAUUUCAUAGGGGUUCAUGACGCGUUAAUGGUGACAUCAUCUAUUAAUGUUGUUGUGUUUCAUUGUUUAUUUUUCAACAAAACGCAGCAGAAAAAGUCUAGCGUACGAUAAAUUCGUUAUACGGUUAACUACUGACCC